GACGAACGCUGGCGGCGUGCUUAACACAUGCAAGUCGAACGGUAAGGCUCCAGCUUGCUGGGGUACACGAGUGGCGAACGGGUGAGUAACACGUGGGUGACCUGCCCUGCACUUCGGGAUAAGCCUGGGAAACUGGGUCUAAUACCGGAUAGGACCGCACCGUGAGGGUGUGGUGGAAAGUUUUUUCGGUGUGGGAUGGGCCCGCGGCCUAUCAGCUUGUUGGUGGGGUAAUGGCCUACCAAGGCGGCGACGGGUAGCCGGCCUGAGAGGGUGGACGGCCACAUUGGGACUGAGAUACGGCCCAGACUCCUACGGGAGGCAGCAGUGGGGAAUAUUGCACAAUGGGCGGAAGCCUGAUGCAGCGACGCCGCGUGGGGGAUGACGGCCUUCGGGUUGUAAACUCCUUUCACCAUCGACGAAGGGUUUCUGACGGUAGAUGGAGAAGAAGCACCGGCUAACUACGUG
RNAcentral lists this ribosomal RNA (465 nucleotides) under uncultured bacterium. RNAcentral's name for it is "partial 16S ribosomal RNA". It matches the Rfam family "Bacterial small subunit ribosomal RNA", at positions 28 to 507 of the family's 1533-position model. The record is from RNAcentral.